This 465-nucleotide ribosomal RNA is filed under the name uncultured bacterium. Its description in RNAcentral is "bacterial SSU rRNA". It matches the Rfam family "Bacterial small subunit ribosomal RNA", at positions 330 to 792 of the family's 1533-position model. The record is from RNAcentral.
UCCAGACUCCUACGGGAGGCAGCAGUGAGGAAUAUUGGUCAAUGGGAGAGAUCCUGAACCAGCCAAGCCGCGUGAGGGAAGACGGCCCUAUGGGUUGUAAACCUCUUUUGUCGGAGAACAAAACCCGGGACGUGUCCCGGACUGCGUGUAUCCGAAGAAAAAGCAUCGGCUAACUCCGUGCCAGCAGCCGCGGUAAUACGGAGGAUCCGAGCGUUAUCCGGAUUUAUUGGGUUUAAAGGGAGCGUAGAUGGGUUGUUAAGUCAGUUGUGAAAGUUUGCGGCUCAACCGUAAAAUUGCAAUUGAUACUGGCAGCCUUGAGUACAGUUGAGGUAGGCGGAAUUCGUGGUGUAGCGGUGAAAUGCAUAGAUAUCACGCAGAACUCCGAUUGCGAAGGCAGCAUACCGGCGCCCAACUGACGCUGAAGCACGAAAGCGUGGGUAUCGAACAGGAUUAGAUACCCGCGUA